This 492-nucleotide ribosomal RNA is filed under the name uncultured bacterium. RNAcentral describes it as "partial 16S ribosomal RNA". It matches the Rfam family "Bacterial small subunit ribosomal RNA", at positions 29 to 507 of the family's 1533-position model. The record is from RNAcentral.
AGUGAACGCUGGCGGUAGGCCUAACACAUGCAAGUCGAACGGCAGCACAGUAAGAUCUUGCUCUUACGGGUGGCGAGUGGCGGACGGGUGAGGAAUACAUCGGAAUCUACUUUUUCGUGGGGGAUAACGUAGGGAAACUUACGCUAAUACCGCAUACGACCUACGGGUGAAAGCAGUGGAUCUUCGGACCUUUCGCGAUUGAAUGAGCCGAUGUCGGAUUAGCUAGUUGGCGGGGUAAAGGCCCACCAAGGCGACGAUCCGUAGCUGGUCUGAGAGGAUGAUCAGCCACACUGGAACUGAGACACGGUCCAGACUCCUACGGGAGGCAGCAGUGGGGAAUAUUGGACAAUGGGCGCAAGCCUGAUCCAGCCAUACCGCGUGAGUGAAGAAGGCCUUCGGGUUGUAAAGCCCUUUUGUUGGGAAAGAAAAGCAGCAGGUUAAUACCCCGCUGUUCUGACGGUACCCAAAGAAUAAGCACCGGCUAACUUCGUG